CUUGCGCCAAGCCAGCACGUGCUAACUCCAGCCUGAUAGCCCGUUUUCCGUUUUCGUGUAAACGGUUCAAAACGAUUUGCCGUACUCGAGUAAAGGGUUUGAAAACGAUUCGAGGCUAGCCCGUUUUCGUUCCGUUUCGUUUCGUCUCCGUGUAAACGCAGCCUGAGGUAGCGACGGCAGUUCGGCAGUCUGUCCGGGUGACGCAACAGCUCAGUGAAGAGGAUUUACGCGUGCAGACGACUCGUGCUAGUGCGUAGGGAACCACAGUUGCUGGCAGUCGCGUCCUGCAACAGAAAAUUUGUCGGAAUGCUAGUACCUGAGCAGCUGUCCAAUCGGAUGUCGAAGGACUAGGCAUUGGUUAGUAAAGUGGACAUUUGGCUACAAGUAUUAGCAAGAGUCCCUAGCCAAAAGUAAGUAACUCUUCUCUCUUUCCUAAGGGUCAGCUGUUGACCGUGAUGUCUGAAAAUGUUCUGUCUGUCUGUCGGCCUGUUGUCUGCUUUUCUCUGUGCUUGCCUGACUGUUUGUCUGUCUGGCUGUCUGACUGAUUGACUGACUGAAUUUCUGU
Long non-coding RNA from Sycon ciliatum, 565 nucleotides. RefSeq lists it as uncharacterized. NCBI's taxonomy places the organism in Eukaryota, Metazoa, Porifera, Calcarea, Leucosolenida, Sycettidae. The transcript is spliced from 3 exons. The record is from RefSeq and is a predicted model, not a curated record.